GUUCAACUGCGGCGUUGGUGACUGCCAAUAAUGUUUUUGAUCUAUGCUUAAACAUUUAAGGGAGUCAAAAUUGCUAACGGCAGUAGACCGAGCAAGUACUCGGAAACUUUAAGUUCAGCUAAUCGAUUCCCACCUGGAUUUUCCAGGUCAAAACUGAGGUAAGACGGCGUUGCGGUGGACUU
This is a non-coding RNA of Chroococcidiopsis thermalis PCC 7203, 182 nucleotides long. It matches the Rfam family "6S / SsrS RNA". Rfam says of the family: E. coli 6S RNA was the first non coding RNA to be sequenced, but its function was unknown until recently. It consists of 184 nucleotides that fold into an extended hairpin structure with a large single-stranded internal bulge. The record is from Rfam. Lineage: Bacteria; Bacillati; Cyanobacteriota; Cyanophyceae; Chroococcidiopsidales; Chroococcidiopsidaceae.